AUACGGAGGAUGCGAGCGUUAUCCGGAUUUAUUGGGUUUAAAGGGAGCGUAGGCGGGAGCUUAAGUCAGCGGUUAAAUGGUGCGGCUCAACCGUGCCCUGCCGUUGAAACUGGGUUUCUUGAGAGUGCAAGAGGCGGAUGGAAUUCAUGGUGUAGCGGUGAAAUGCUUAGAUAUCAUGAAGAACUCCGAUUGCGAAGGCAGUCCGCUGGGGCACGUCUGACGCUGAUGCUCGAAGGUGCGGGAAUCAAACAGGAUUAGAUACCCUGGUAGUCCGCACAGUAAACGAUGGACACUCGUGGUCGGCGACACACUGCCGGUCACCAAGCGAAAGCGAUAAGUGUCCCACCUGGGGAGUACGCCGGCAACGGUGAAACUCAAAUGAAUUGACGGGG
RNAcentral lists this ribosomal RNA (392 nucleotides) under uncultured bacterium. Its description in RNAcentral is "partial 16S ribosomal RNA". It matches the Rfam family "Bacterial small subunit ribosomal RNA", at positions 523 to 918 of the family's 1533-position model. The record is from RNAcentral.